GACGAACGCUGGCGGCGUGCUUAACACAUGCAAGUCGAACGGGAGUAUUGAAGAAGCUUGCUUUAGAGAUACUUAGUGGCGGACGGGUGAGUAACGCGUGAGGAGCUGUCCUAUGCAGGGGGACAACAGCUGGAAACGGCUGCUAAUACCCCAUAAGCCGAGAGGUAAAAGGAUCAAUCCGGCAGAGGAGGUACUCGCGUCCUAUCAGCUAGUAGGUGAGGUAACGGCUCACCUAGGCGAAGACGGGUAGCCGGCCUGAGAGGGCGAACGGCCACACUGGAACUGAGAUACGGUCCAGACUCCUACGGGAGGCAGCAGUGGGGAAUAUUGGGCAAUGGGGGAAACCCUGACCCAGCGACGCCGCGUGGGUGAAGAAAUCCUUCGGGAUGUAAAGCCCUGUUGUAUGGGAAGAGCGGAAGACGGUACCAUACGAGGAAGCCCCGGCAAACUACGUG
Molecule: ribosomal RNA, 455 nt
Filed under: uncultured bacterium
Lineage: Bacteria
Description: bacterial SSU rRNA
Rfam family: Bacterial small subunit ribosomal RNA
Source: RNAcentral